This 132-nucleotide ribosomal RNA is filed under the name uncultured bacterium NAZ8. RNAcentral describes it as "partial 23S ribosomal RNA". It matches the Rfam family "Bacterial large subunit ribosomal RNA", at positions 1 to 132 of the family's 2925-position model. Lineage: Bacteria; Pseudomonadati; Pseudomonadota; Betaproteobacteria. The record is from RNAcentral.
GUCAAGUGAAUAAGUGCAUGUGGUGGAUGCCUUGGCGACUACAGGCGAUGAAGGACGUUGCAGCCUGCGAUAAGCCACGGGGAGCUGGCAAGCGAGCUUUGAUCCGUGGAUUUCCGAAUGGGGAAACCCGGG